This is a long non-coding RNA of Talpa occidentalis (Iberian mole), 397 nucleotides long. RefSeq lists it as uncharacterized. The transcript has 4 exons. NCBI's taxonomy places the organism in Eukaryota, Metazoa, Chordata, Mammalia, Eulipotyphla, Talpidae. The record is from RefSeq and is a predicted model, not a curated record.
UUUUGAUGAAUCAACUCUGGCUGACAUUUUCUACGGUGGAGCAACACUCUGCUUACUAUUUAAUUCAAAUGAAAUACCAACAAAUGACAGAGGAUGCAAAGUCAUUUAUCUAGUGUACAAUAGCCAUCAGCAGUAUAUCUGUAACAACUGCUUCUAAAGGGAUACGGCAUCAAUACGGUUCUGUGCUCCAAUGCCUCUGGGAAUGCACAGGACUCACCACAAGUCAGACAGAACCUGUAAGUCUCUUGUCUAUUGUUUUAUGUAAUUUCUGGAAUGACAUCAACACUAAUUGUCCCUGACUCUGCCAGCUCUACCAGAGUCACAGAUAUUUGCCACUGGUGGGCUGCAUUUUGCGUGGUUCCAGAGCCAACUCUGCACUGGAUGGAUAUUAAAUGCA